CCUACGGGAGGCAGCAGUGAGGAAUAUUGGUCAAUGGACGAGAGUCUGAACCAGCCAAGUAGCGUGAAGGAUGACUGCCCUAUGGGUUGUAAACUUCUUUUAUAUGGGAAUAAAAUGUUCCACGUGUGGGAUUUUGUAUGUACCAUAUGAAUAAGGAUCGGCUAACUCCGUGCCAGCAGCCGCGGUAAUACGGAGGAACCGAGCGUUAUCCGGAUUUAUUGGGUUUAAGGGGAGCGUAGGUGGAUUGUUAAGUCAGUUGUGAAAUUUUGCGGCUCAACCGUAAAAUUGCAGUUGAAACUGGCAGUCUUGAGUACAGUAGAGGUGGGCGGAAUUCGUGGUGUAGCGGUGAAAUGCUUAGAUAUCACGAAGAACUCCGAUUGCGAAGGCAGCUCACUGGACUGCAACUGACACUGAGGCUCGAAAGUGUGGGUAUCAAACAGGAUUAGAUACCCCUGUAGUC
Molecule: ribosomal RNA, 460 nt
Filed under: uncultured bacterium
Lineage: Bacteria
Description: partial 16S ribosomal RNA
Rfam family: Bacterial small subunit ribosomal RNA
Source: RNAcentral